RNAcentral lists this ribosomal RNA (252 nucleotides) under uncultured bacterium. Its description in RNAcentral is "partial 16S ribosomal RNA". It matches the Rfam family "Bacterial small subunit ribosomal RNA", at positions 524 to 776 of the family's 1533-position model. The record is from RNAcentral.
UACGUAGGGGGCGAGCGUUAUCCGGAUUCAUUGGGCGUAAAGCGCGCGUAGGCGGCCGCCUAAGCGGAACCUCUAACCCCGGGGCUCAACCUCGGGCCGGGUUCCGGACUAGGCGGCUCGAGUGCGGUAGAGGAGAGCGGAAUUCCCGGUGUAGCGGUGGAAUGCGCAGAUAUCGGGAAGAACACCGAUGGCGAAGGCAGCUCUCUGGGCCGUCACUGACGCUGAGGCGCGAAAGCUGGGGGAGCGAACAGG